AGGUCCAAAGAGAGAAGCAGGGUCUGAUCUGCAGCCUCUGUGGCAGCUGUUGAUCAGCCCUUGCCUCUCUUUCUCUCCG
Non-coding RNA from Myotis brandtii (Brandt's bat), 79 nucleotides. The record is from Rfam. NCBI's taxonomy places the organism in Eukaryota, Metazoa, Chordata, Mammalia, Chiroptera, Vespertilionidae.